UUUCGCAAUGCCCGAAAGGGUGACGAUGCGACGCCGCGUGAGCGAAGAAGGCCCUAGGGUUGUAAAGCUCUGUCAGGGGUUAAGAAAUGUAGAUAGGUUAAUACCCUGUUUAUUUGACAAAAGCCCCAAAGGAAGCCACGGCUAACUCUGUGCCAGCAGCCGCGGUAAUACAGAGGUGGCAAGCGUUGUUCGGUAUUAUUGGGCGUAAAGAGCACGUAGGUGGUUUUGUAAGUCAGAUGUGAAAGCCUUCUGUUCAAAGGAAGAACGGCAUCUGAAACUGCUGAUCUUGAGUGUAGGAGGGGAGAGUGGAACUUCUGGUGGAGCGGUGAAAUGCGUAGAUAUCAGAAGGAACGUCGGCGGCGAAAGCGACUCUCUGGCCUAUUACUGACACUGAGUGUGCGAAAGUUAGGGGAGCAAACGGGAUUAGAUACCCCGGUAGUCCUAACCGUAAACGAUGGGCACUAAGUAGAGGGGUUUU
Molecule: ribosomal RNA, 478 nt
Filed under: uncultured bacterium
Lineage: Bacteria
Description: bacterial SSU rRNA
Rfam family: Bacterial small subunit ribosomal RNA
Source: RNAcentral